GUAAAAUAACUAAACUGAACUGAUAGUACUUUCAAUACAGUAACAUAAAAAAUGUUAACAGACGAAACUGUCAAGUGUUGAUUAUUAUUAUGAUUGAGUGUAUAUGAAUGAUCAGUUAACAGUUAGCAUUUUUGAUUGAAGAGGUCUCAUUAUGCUGAACUUCCAUGAUGAGAUAUGAUUGUUGACAAUUUCCGGUUAAUCUAAGAUGAUGAGAAAUGGCCCUUCCAUCAAAUGAACAACAAAAAGAAAAUCCAGAUCCAGAAAGUGGACAUUACAUAACUGUCAUCCCUGUUGAUUAUCAAAGAAAUCGGGGCUUUCCUCAACCUCCUGAUCAAUACAGUGAUUUCAAAACAAUAGAAGGAGACUUCAACAGACCGGAUGUUGUAAAAGCUGGAUCAGCCAGUGAGAAUAACGAUAAUCUUCCUUCAGAAGUAUACAAGCCAUUAACAGAUGCCAGUGGCAAGUUCAGUAAAGAAUAUGAGGAUAACGCAAUCAAUGCUCAGUGGGAGAAAGAGAAAAACCAGCAAGAGUCUCACUCUGAACCUCCAGUACAGUCGCUCAAGGUGUGUAUCUACCUGAUGUCUGAUGUGGCCCUACACAUGGAACUGGAAGAUGGAGUGAACACAAGUGUCAAGGAGUUGGUGCAGGCCAUUGUCACGGAGGAACAGCUGGGUCUGCCCCGCUCGGCCGCCAACAUCUUCACACUCUGGAUGUGCUCUGGACUACUUGAACUUCGCUUGAAGCCACACCACCAACCUUUCACUGUGAGAGCGAAGUGGCCAGAUUUGCUGGCCAAGUACGCUCAUGCCACUGAGUCACGACAAGGUAGAGAUGAGCCGGUCUUAUCUUUCCAGAGAAAUGUGUUCGUGCCAAGAUUUGUGGACGAGAGGGUCAAAGAAGCAAGAGUGCUAGAUCUGCUUUAUUGCGAGGCAAGGUACAACAUCCUGGAGGGUAGAUAUCCUUGUGAGGUUGGACACUUCAUCAUGUUGGGCGGUAUCCAAGCCAGGCUGGAACUGGGACCUUACAACCCCCACUUACAUACCAUACACUUCUUCAGAGAGCAGCACAGCAGGUUUCUGCCUGUCCACAUGCGGCGGGGAGCUUGGCGCUCCUGGCUAGGACUCAGUGGCAAGAACUCGCCUGAAGUGCGCCUUCUCGAGCACUACAAGCGCAUUCCUCCUGCUACCCCUGAUCGGAAACUACAACGCAAGUACCUCGAAUUCUGCUGGGCCUUGCCUUACUAUGGGUGUGCAUUUUUCCAAGGACAAGUAGAACAGCCAGUUCGAGGUCUGACCUCUCUCAUCACCCACCAGGAUAUCCCGGUACUAGUUGGUAUCAACCCUCAAGGCGUCUAUGUCAUUGACAACAUCCAAUGUACAUUGCUGUUGGGUCUCAAGUUUGAAGAAAUGUCUUGGGACUUCGCCAAACCUUCACAGGAAGAUAAUCCAGACUGCUUGCCAUGUAUAUUUAUUCAGUUCAGAGUCGUUGAAAAUGGAAUGAGAGUUUCCAAGAUUUUACAAGUGUUUUCAAAACAGGCUGUAAUGAUGGAUGCUCUGAUCUCGGGUUUUGUGGAGGACAUCAAGAAGAAGACGGCAGCAGCCAAACCAGCCGGAGACGAAACGGACAGGCCUCCAGUGUAUGAUACUGCCACAGACAGUGAUGAUACACAGAUGCCUCUAACCAUGGUGACUGGAGCUCGCAGAGAUGUGCCUCAGACAUGCCUGGGCAACAAACUCAGCAAGUUAACUUUGGCCACAUUCGAUGAUGAAGAAACGAGGUUGUAGCUGGCUAUGGCAUGACUCUCACUUUGCACCGUGUUGCUAGUAGUAUUCACAGUUGUUUUAAGAUGUUGAUGACCAGCUAAGGACACCUUUACUUCUGGCUUCUAGAUAUCUUGCUAAGCAGUUCAUAUAAUUUAGAGAAGACUUGUGUAAGGUUGUGUCUGGGAAGUUGUAGACUACUGUGUUCAUGCAUGGUUCUGUAUUGGGAAUUUUAAUUUCUGCCAGUCGAUGCAUAGGUCAAAUGGGAUCAUGGGCAUUCAGCUACUGAAGACAUCAAGUGAUUCUAAUUGUGGCAGCUUCUCAAAGCUCUGGGCAGCAUAUUGAAACCAAUGAGACUUGAUGGUUUUGUAAAUGUUUCCAUCAGAUGUUACAAAAAACUCAGUAAUACAAACACAUUAAGCUACUAGAAAUGUAUAGUAAGAAUGUUAGCACAGUAAGUUAUAAUCAAACAAUUGAUUCAGUUAUAAUAUUCAUUUAAAUAUCACAUCCAUCUAGUCUUAAUUUAGUUACAAGUAUUAUAGGUUUUUUAUUAAGUGAAUUGGUAAUUUACAACGUUUAUGUGAUAAGUUAGAUCUGUUUUCUUUAUUAUUUAUUUUUAAAAUAACUUGCAAAACUCAUUUCCAAUUAAGUGUAUUAUGGCCAUAAACUCAAAUAGUGAAAUAUGUAGAAUUUAGUUAAGUACCAAUGAACUAAAUAUAAAUAAUUAACUCUUAUAUGAGUACUGAUAUAAACAAGUAUGUAAUUAUGUCUUCAUUAUAAAGCAUCCCGAUACGGAUUCUAAAAUUUAGAAUCCGUAUCGGAAUGCUUUAAUGCAUAUAUUAAUUUUGUAUAUGUGAUAAUUUAACAUGUUAUGUUUGUGAUAUUUAUAUAUAUUUAUUUAUUUAUUUAUAUUUUUCAAUAUAUUGAAAACACUUCAUUUGUACCUUUUAUAAUUAUUGUGAUUAAGAAGUGUAAUUGUCAAGUUGCUGCCAUUAUUCAAUUAUAGGCAUACUAAGAUAGUCUGUAUUUACUUUUGAUUAUUAUGUAAAUAAUCUUCCUGAGUGCAACUAAUAUUUUAAAUCUUGCUCUUUAUAUUUAAUUAUUGUUAUAUAAUCAACCAAUUUUCUUAAACGUUAGAUUCAAAAGAUUUUUCUUCUAUUUUUGUCUGCAUAUCUAUUAUAUGACAAGCUCCAGAUCUUUUCAGUUUAUUACGCAUAUGUACAAUCCAUUUUACAAUAUGGUAUUGUCACAUUGGGAGGGGCUUACAAAACGAUAUUGGAACUAUUAAAUGUUAUACAAAAAGAAAUAAUCAAAGCAGUGUUUAAUAAACAAAGGCAUUAUUCACCUACUUUGUUAUUUAGGGAGACUAAUAUUUUUUUAAAUUAAGCAGUUACUUAUUAGGACUGUACUGGUUUACGUCUUCUUUCAUAAAGAUGUCGUCCUUAUCUCCAUCGCUCACAAUUACCCGACCAUGAACGCUGUGAGUGUGGGCUUGCAGUUUACUGUCACGUAAACUUACCAAUGUUUACUGUCACGUAAACUUACCAAUGUUUACUGUCACGUAAACUUACCCAUGUUUACUGUCACGUAAACUUACCAAUGUUUACUGUCGCCAACAUGCUGUACAGACACGCCCUCUGUGAUAAGAGACCUGCAGGACGAGCCUGUUAAUGGUUUUCAAGCGGCUGGUCACUGCCUGAAUUUGAAUGAUCUGUCCGGACAAUGCUGAAUUUCUCCUCACCCCCACUAAACAUUACCGCUAUUAUAGUUAACUACUUCUUAUUAUAACAAACAUAUGCAAUAUCGUAUUCCCAAAACUUGUAAUUUCUUUUUGGAUUUUUUAUCAUUUUUUGGCAUAUUUUGUUUUAGGGUUUUGGCACUUAACGCUUUCCAGUUUGCUUCCUGAUGGUCAUAAAUCCAAACAUUUAUACAUUCUGACUCAUUCGCAUCACUUAUGUGACUUCUAAUGUACACAAUGAACUAAAAUAAGGCAAUACAGAUAAUGUAUGCCACAUUUAGUGCAAUUCUGAUGGUAUGGACAAAUCCAUAUGCCAAGCAUUAGGGUUUAAUUCUUAGUCGUUACAGGUAAAAUCAAUGAAUAGUCAACCGUUUCAAAUUCAAGUGAGGACAUACUUGGUUAGAAGGGCUUUUUACAAACUGCAAGAGACUUUUGAGUGGAUAUGUAAGGUUAGCCGCACAAAAAUUAAUCAUUUUAUACAUUUUAAACUUAGUUUUUUACUUUUCUAUGAAUUUUAUUUUAUUUUAAGUAUUUAUUUUGUGAUUUUAAGCUUACUUUAGGAUUUUGAUGGACUUGUUCGCAUUCAGAAUAAAUUUUACAUAUUAAUAAAUGGCUUAUAUAAAAUCUUCCCAAAAAUCAAAAUGCUGGAUUAUGAAUUAACUAAGAAAAUAUUUAAAAAAUUAUUGACCAUUUAUAAGUUAUCUAAAAAAUAUCAGUUUUGAAUACCAUUUUGAAUACAGAUUUUUUUGUGAAAUGUAAAAUAUUGUACUGGUGUAAAUUAUUGUGUUGGAUGUAAUUUCAGAUAGAAAAAUCCCAUGAAACAAACAAAUUUAAAAAAAUUAGAUUGACAUCUUAAAAAUAUAGAAUUAUCAUAAAGUAAUAACACGAUAGUAUUAGUAUAAUUUGCUAACAAAUUUUCAAGCAUUGACGUUUGUAGUCCAUUUUUCAAAUAAAGUAGAAGCGAGGAUAACUGAGUUCUGAUUAUUCCAGAUACUGAGUUAAACAUGUUUAAAAAAUCAAGAACUUUUUAGGAUAUGUUUAGAAAAUUACAUUGAGGAUUCCAGGUUUGAUUUUGAUAUGUGGGGAGCAAGAGGGGGCUACACUGCAGUGCUGUGUUGUGCCAUUUGCAUUGUUCUACUGGCCAUCUUUAGUUCAAGCAGUAACUUUACGAGGUUAGAAUGAGCCUAUUGGUUACAACUGAGUAGUAAGUCAAGCUUGCUCAUUCCCAUGAAAAGAAUUUGAAAAGUUGUUUAGUGACAACCAACGAGUAUAUAGCCAAUAUGAACCAACAAUAACAUGAAGAAGAUGAUACAGACGAAAUCCUUUCUAAAAUUUCUCAUUCUGGUAAGUUGAAAAUAUUGGAAGCAGUUAUAGGUUACAUUGAACAGCUAGAACAUAGCAGUGCUCAUGACAAAAUGUUUCUUCAGCAUUGGCUCAACAUUGAGGCAAAGAAAGCAAGCUUAUGAAAAGAAUCAGUCAAGGUCCUUUUCUUUGCAAGUAAACCCAUUUUUAUUAAUCAUUGUUAUAUUUUUCUGUAAAUAAAAUUAUUUUAUUACAAUUUUCCCAUUAGCCAAUGUUUUGCCGUAUCUGAGGUAAUCCCAAUUGCCAUUUAGCUCAGUUAACCGGACUUCUAAUGUAUUAAUAUAAAAAUCCAAAAACUAAAUUAAAAUUUUAUUUUAUACUAUUUUCAGCCUUAUUUUUCCUUUACAUCAUCAACUCUUCAGCUGAUAAACUGAACGGAGAAUUAUCAUUGUUGCAACAACAUUGAAUAAGAGUAGAAUGGAUUCAUGUAUAGUUUGGUUUAUUAUCUCAAUUAAUCAAGCUAAUUUUUUUUGUUCGUAAAAAUGUGUCAUUGUUACGAAUUCUAGUUUUAGAAACUUUAUUUAUCAUUCAUUAUGCUUCGUUAUCUAUUUGUGUAUUAUAUAACUUUCUAUGUUUUGUUUGUUAGUUGUUUUUAUAUUAAAGAAGGAUUUGAAAACA
Molecule: RNA transcript, 5478 nt
Organism: Homalodisca vitripennis (glassy-winged sharpshooter)
Lineage: Eukaryota; Metazoa; Arthropoda; Insecta; Hemiptera; Cicadellidae
Gene: Bili
Gene name: FERM domain-containing protein 8
Exons: 14
Source: RefSeq, a predicted model, not a curated record